UACGGAGGGUGCGAGCGUUGUCCGGAAUCACUGGGCGUAAAGGGCGCGUAGGUGGCUCACGCACGCGUGCGGUGAAAGCCCGGGGCUCAACCCCGGGUCGGCCGUGCGGACUGCGGGGCUCGAGCACUGUAGGGGCAGAUGGAAUUCCGGGUGUAGCGGUGGAAUGCGUAGAGAUCCGGAAGAACACCGGUGGCGAAGGCGGUCUGCUGGGCAGUUGCUGACACUGAGGCGCGACAGCGUGGGGAGCAAACAGG
Molecule: ribosomal RNA, 254 nt
Filed under: uncultured bacterium
Lineage: Bacteria
Description: partial 16S ribosomal RNA
Rfam family: Bacterial small subunit ribosomal RNA
Source: RNAcentral